ACGAGUACAUGUGAUUGGUGUAGUAAUACUUCCUCUCGUGUACUUGUGCUACAUCUACUACAGGCUGUGUGUGUGUGUGUGUGUGUGUGUGUGUGUGUGUGUGUGUGAGGGUUUUUUUUUUUGUGAUUUUAAAAUGGAGGACGGGAGCUUUGGUGUGAGACAGACAGGUAUGUGUCUCCGUGUUUGUCCUCCGCUACAUAAAUGUGCUGCAGAGCAGUCGGGCUCUGCAGCACAUUGGUGGGGGAGGUGCUCCAUUCAAAACUCCGUCUGUCCUCUCGCAUAUUUACAUUUCUAGGGAACCUGUUGGCUUCCACGGCCGCUCCCACAUGGCCCACGUGUGUCCAACAGGUCACGUUUAACAAAUACCAUCGUUUCCUGUUGACCAGCUAAUAACACGGUGUUGGCCUCACAAGGGCCUGUAUAGUGUCUCUCGUGCUUGUUUCACCUGCAUCCGUGAGAGAAAAUGGAGUUCCUUUUGCAAAUGAAAUCUGAUCAUUGUUUAAAUGAAAAAAAAAAAAGAAACGCUGCACACGAUU
Gasterosteus aculeatus aculeatus (three-spined stickleback) is the source of this 536-nucleotide non-coding RNA. The record is from RefSeq and is a predicted model, not a curated record. NCBI's taxonomy places the organism in Eukaryota, Metazoa, Chordata, Actinopteri, Perciformes, Gasterosteidae.